GUCGCAACAGUAAUUGAACUUAGUACGAGAGGAACCGUUCAUUCGAUAUUUGGUAUUUGCGCCUGUCCGAUCGGGCAAUGGCGCGAAGCUAUCAUCUGCUGGAUUAUGGCUGAACGCCUCUAAGCCAGAAUCCGUGCU
Molecule: non-coding RNA, 138 nt
Filed under: Serpula lacrymans var. lacrymans S7.3
Lineage: Eukaryota; Fungi; Basidiomycota; Agaricomycetes; Boletales; Serpulaceae
Description: Eukaryotic large subunit ribosomal RNA
Rfam family: Eukaryotic large subunit ribosomal RNA
Source: Rfam by way of RNAcentral